AUUGAGCGCUGGCGGCAGGCUUAACACAUGCAAGUCGAGCGGGGGAAGGUAGCUUGCUACCGGACCUAGCGGCGGACGGGUGAGUAAUGCUUAGGAAUCUGCCUAUUAGUGGGGGACAACAUCUCGAAAGGGAUGCUAAUACCGCAUACGUCCUACGGGAGAAAGCAGGGGAUCUUCGGACCUUGCGCUAAUAGAUGAGCCUAAGUCAGAUUAGCUAGUUGGUGGGGUAAAGGCCUAACAAGGCGACGAUCUGUAGCGGGUCUGAGAGGAUGAUCCGCCACACUGGGACUGAGACACGGCCCAGACUCCUACGGGAGGCAGCAGUGGGGAAUAUUGGACAAUGGGGGGAACCCUGAUCCAGCCAUGCCGCGUGUGUGAAGAAGGCCUUAUGGUUGUAAAGCACUUUAAGCGAGGAGGAGGCUACUUUAGUUAAUACCUAGAGAUAGUGGACGUUACUCGCAGAAUAAGCACCGGCUAACUCUGUGCCAGCCGCCGCGGUAA
RNAcentral lists this ribosomal RNA (501 nucleotides) under uncultured bacterium. Its description in RNAcentral is "partial 16S ribosomal RNA". It matches the Rfam family "Bacterial small subunit ribosomal RNA", at positions 30 to 523 of the family's 1533-position model. The record is from RNAcentral.